RNAcentral lists this ribosomal RNA (590 nucleotides) under Cryptanura banchiformis. Its description in RNAcentral is "eukaryotic LSU rRNA". Lineage: Eukaryota; Metazoa; Arthropoda; Insecta; Hymenoptera; Ichneumonidae. The record is from RNAcentral.
CCUGAGAAACCCAAAAGAUCGAAUGGGGAGAUUCAUCGUCAGCGAUUUUGGUACGUGUGCGGUCUCGCGAUGCCGAGACUUCGGUUUUCAGGCACGCGUCCGCAUGUUUUAUUGCCUCGAUCGUCGGCGUGCACUUCUCCCCUAGUAGGACGUCGCGACCCGUUGGGUGUCGGUCUACGGCCCGGGCGGUAGCCUGUCUCGUGUGCGCUUCGCGGCGUUACGCGGUUCAGACCCCCGGCUGCCCGACCGGCUGCCCGGCGGUACUCGCACGGUAUCUGGCCGCAAAUAUUCGAACUGCGUCCGGCCCGUCGCAAGCGCGACAAGUGUUUCCCGGUUGUACGGAUCCAAUGCCGUCACCGGGCCUUGUCAGCUGUUGGUUGACGGUGUCCUAGGACUGGCUAAUCCAAUUAUGAUACCGGUCGGCGACGCUACUGCUUUGGGUACUUUCAGGACCCGUCUUGAAACACGGACCAAGGAGUCUAACAUGUGCGCGAGUCAUUGGGAACUAUUAAGCCUAAAGGCGCAAUGAAAGUGAAGGUUGGCCUUGCGCCAACCGAGGGAGGAUGGGCCGCGUCACGAUGCGGUCCCGC